Molecule: long non-coding RNA, 289 nt
Organism: Beta vulgaris subsp. vulgaris (sugar beet)
Lineage: Eukaryota; Viridiplantae; Streptophyta; Magnoliopsida; Caryophyllales; Amaranthaceae
Exons: 2
Source: RefSeq, a predicted model, not a curated record
UUAAGAGUAAAAUGAGUAAUAUAUUGAUUAUAUUGUAAUUCUUAUUAAGGUGGAUUGUGGGUAUUAAUCUGUGAAGGCGAAAGAGUCUUGGAAGCUUAGAAGAAGUUGUAUGUGAGAAUUGAUUUGCAUUUGAGGUUUGUAUUGGGAGCUCAUAGUGGAUCAGAAAUAAAGAAUUGGUGAUAAAGUUGUAAAUAUAUUAGUGAUUCGAAGUUAGAUUUAAAAUAUAAGUUGUUGAAUAUUAAGUUCUCAUUUGAUAUUUAAGUAUUAUAUAUAUUUGGGAUUUGAGUAA